CCCCUCUCCGGGUCGCACCUGGAGAGUUUCCAGUCCUCUACCAGUCUCGACUACGGGAGGAAGAGUCAAGCAGAGGCCUACCCGUUCCAUUCCUAACUUAGGCAGUGGCUGGCGAGUGGAAGGCCAUCUGCUGCAAGU
RNAcentral lists this small nucleolar RNA (138 nucleotides) under Ornithorhynchus anatinus (platypus). The record is from RNAcentral. Lineage: Eukaryota; Metazoa; Chordata; Mammalia; Monotremata; Ornithorhynchidae.